GACGAACGCUGGCGGCGUGCUUAACACAUGCAAGUCGAACGGAAAGGCCCUGCUUGCAGGGUGCUCGAGUGGCGAACGGGUGAGUAACACGUGGGUGAUCUGCCCCUUACUUUGGGAUAAGCCUGGGAAACUGGGUCUAAUACUGGAUAGGACCAUGCUGUAGGUGGUGUGGUGGAAAGAUUAGUUUCGGUAAGGGAUGAGCUCGCGGCCUAUCAGCUUGUUGGUGGGGUAAUGGCCUACCAAGGCGUCGACGGGUAGCCGGCCUGAGAGGGUGGACGGCCACAUUGGGACUGAGAUACGGCGCAGAAGCCUACGGGAGGCAGCAGUGGGGAAUAGUGCAAAAUGGGCGCAAGCCUGAUGCAGCGACGCCGCGUGGGGGAUGACGGCCUUCGGGUUGUAAACUCCUUUCAGCCAUGACGAAGCCCUUGUGGUGACGGUAGUGGUAGAAGAAGCACCGGCUAACUACGUG
Molecule: ribosomal RNA, 469 nt
Filed under: uncultured bacterium
Lineage: Bacteria
Description: partial 16S ribosomal RNA
Rfam family: Bacterial small subunit ribosomal RNA
Source: RNAcentral